This 393-nucleotide ribosomal RNA is filed under the name uncultured bacterium. RNAcentral's name for it is "partial 16S ribosomal RNA". It matches the Rfam family "Bacterial small subunit ribosomal RNA", at positions 523 to 918 of the family's 1533-position model. The record is from RNAcentral.
AUACGGAGGAUCCGAGCGUUAUCCGGAUUUAUUGGGUUUAAAGGGUGCGCAGGCGGGAUGUUAAGUCGGCGGUGAAAUUUUGCAGCUCCAAUGUAAAAGUGCCUUCGAUACUGGCUUUCUUGAGUGGGGGAGAAGGAGGGGGGAUUUGGGGUGUAGCGGUGAAAUGCUUAGAUAUCACGAGGAACUCCGAUUGCGCAGGCAGCUUACUAAACCACUACUGACGCUCAUGCACGAAGGCGUGGGGAUCAAACAGGAUUAGAUACCCUGGUAGUCCACGCAGUAAACGAUGAUUACUAGUUGUUUGCGAUACAAUGUAAGCGACUGAGCGAAAGCGUUAAGUAAUCCACCUGGGGAGUACGUUCGCAAGAAUGAAACUCAAAUGAAUUGACGGGG